This 210-nucleotide ribosomal RNA is filed under the name uncultured bacterium. RNAcentral describes it as "partial 16S ribosomal RNA". It matches the Rfam family "Bacterial small subunit ribosomal RNA", at positions 1289 to 1500 of the family's 1533-position model. The record is from RNAcentral.
CAGUUCGGACUGUAGGCUGCAACUCGCCUCACGAAGUUGGAAUUGCUAGUAAUCGCGGAUCAGCAUGCCGCGGUGAAUACGUUCCCGGGCCUUGUACACACCGCCCGUCACACCAUGGGAGUCGGUAACACCCGAAGCCAGUAGCCUAACCGCAAGGGGGCGCGGCCGAAGGUGGGUCCGGUAAUUGGGGUGAAGUCGUAACAAGGUACC